CCUACGGGGGGCAGCAGUGGGGAAUAUUGGGCAAUGGGCGCAAGCCUGACCCAGCAAUGCCGCGUGAAGGAAGAAGGCUUUCGGGUUGUUAACUUCUUUGACACGGGAAGAGCAGAAGACGGUACCCUGAAAACAAGCCACGGCUAACUACGUGCCAGCAGCCUCGGUAAUCCGUAGGUGGCAAGCGGUGUCCGGAUUUACUGGUUGUAAAGGGCGUGUAGCCGGGAAGGCAAGUCCGCUGUGAAAUCUGGCGGCGCAACCUCCAAAUUGCAUUUGAAACUGUUGGUCUUGAGUACUGGAGAGGCAGACGGAAUGCCUGGUGUAGCGGUGAAAUGCGUAGAUAUAAGGAGGAACACCAGUGGCGAAGGCGGUCUGCUGGACAGCAACUGACGGUGAGGCGCGAAAGCGUGGGGAGCAAACAGGAUUAGAUACCCCUGUAGUC
This 442-nucleotide ribosomal RNA is filed under the name uncultured bacterium. Its description in RNAcentral is "partial 16S ribosomal RNA". It matches the Rfam family "Bacterial small subunit ribosomal RNA", at positions 338 to 795 of the family's 1533-position model. The record is from RNAcentral.